GAUGAACGCUGGCGGCGUGCCUAAUACAUGCAAGUCGAGCGAACAGACGAGGAGCUUGCUCCUCUGACGUUAGCGGCGGACGGGUGAGUAACACGUGGAUAACCUACCUAUAAGACUGGGAUAACUUCGGGAAACCGGAGCUACUACCGGAUAAUAUAUUGAACCGCAUGGUUCAAUAGUGAAAGACGGUUUUGCUGUCACUUAUAGAUGGAUCCGCGCCGGAUUAGCUAGUUGGUAAGGUAACGGCUUACCAAGGCGACGAUGCGUAGCCGACCUGAGAGGGUGAUCAGCCACACUGGAACUGAGACACGGUCCAGACUCCUACGGGAGGCAGCAGUAGGGAAUCUUCCGCAAUGGGCGAAAGCCUGACGGAGCAAUGCCGCGUGAGUGAUGAAGGUCUUCGGAUCGUAAAACUCUGUUAUUAGGGAAGAAAAAAUGUGUAAGUAACUAUGCACGUCUUGACGGUACCUAAAGAGAAAGCCACGGCUAACUACGUG
This 497-nucleotide ribosomal RNA is filed under the name uncultured bacterium. Its description in RNAcentral is "partial 16S ribosomal RNA". It matches the Rfam family "Bacterial small subunit ribosomal RNA", at positions 28 to 507 of the family's 1533-position model. The record is from RNAcentral.